AGUUCGAUUAUGAAACUCAGAUUGAACGCUGGCGGGAUGCUUUACACAUGCAAGUCGAACGGCAGCACGGACUUCGGUCUGGUGGCAGCUGAGUGAUGGCGAACGGGUGAGUAAUGUAUCCGGAACGUGCCUAGUAGCCAGGGAUAACUACGCGAAAGCGUAGCUAAUACUACAUACGCCCUUCGGGGAAGCGGGAGACCUUCGGGCCUCGCACUAUUAGAGCGGCCGAUAUCGGAUUAGCUAGUUGGUGGGGUAACGGCUCACCAAGGCGACGAUCCCGUAGCUGGUUUGAGGACGACCAGCCACACUGGGACUGAGACACGGCUUGAACUCUACGGGGAGGCAGCAGUGAAAUUUUGGACAAUGGAAACCCUGAUCCAGCCAUCCCGCGUGUGCGAUGAAGGCCUUCAGGUUGUAAAGCACUUUUGGCAGGAAAGAAACGGCACGGGAUAAUACCCCGUGCAACUGACGGUACCUGCAGAAUAAGCACCGGCUAACUACGUGCCAGCAGCCGCGGUAAUACGUAGGGUGCAAGCGUUAAUCAGGUGCAGUAAAGCGUGCGCAGGCGGUUCGGAAAGAAAGAUGUGAAAUCCCAGAGCCCAACUUUGGAACUGCAUUUUUAACUACCGAGCUAGAGUGUGUCAGGGAGGUGGAAUUCGCGAUGUAGCAGUGAAAUACGUAGAUAUGCGGAGGAACACCGAUGGCGAAGGCAACCUCCUGGGAUAACACUGACAGCUCAUGCACGAAAAGCGUGGGGAGCAAACAGGAUUAGAUACCCUGGUAGUCCACGCCCUAAACGAUGUCAACUAGCUGUUCGGGGCCUUCGGGCCUUGGUAGCGCAGCUAACGCGUGAAGUUGACCGCCUGGGAGUACGGUCGCAAGAUUAAAACUCAAGGAAUUGACGGGGACCCGCACAAGCGGUGGAUGAUGUGGAUUAAUUCGAUGCAACGCGAAAAACCUUACCUACCCUUGACAUGUCUGGAAUCCCGAAGAGAUUUAGGGUGCUCGCAAGAGAACCGGAACACAGGUGCUGCACUUGGCUGUCGUCAGCUCGUGUCGUGAGAUGUUGGGUUAAGUCCCGCAACGAGCGCAACCCUUGUCAUUAGUUGCUACGAAGGGCACUCUAAUGAGACUGCCGGUGACAAACCGGGGAAGGUGGGGAUGACGUCAAGUCCUCAUGGCCCUUAUGGGUAGGGCUUCACGUCAUACAAUGGUCGGGACAGGGGUCGCCAACCCGCGAAGGGGAGCCAAUCCCAGAAACCCGAUCGUAGUCCGGAUCGCAGUCUGCAACUCGACUGCGUGAAGUCGGAAUCGCUAGUAAUCGCGGAUCAGCAUGUCGCGGUGAAGAUACGUUCCCGGGUCUUGUACACACCGCCCGUCACACCAUGGGAGUGGGUUUUACCAGAAGUAGUUAGCCUAACCGUAAGGAGGCGAUUACCACGGUAGGAUUCAUGACUGGGGUGAAGUCGUAACAAGGUAG
This 1480-nucleotide ribosomal RNA is filed under the name uncultured Bordetella sp. Its description in RNAcentral is "partial 16S-23S ribosomal RNA intergenic spacer". It matches the Rfam family "Bacterial small subunit ribosomal RNA". The record is from RNAcentral. Lineage: Bacteria; Pseudomonadati; Pseudomonadota; Betaproteobacteria; Burkholderiales; Alcaligenaceae.